AAAAACAUGUCCUUUUGAUUAAAAUUUAAGGUCUAACCUGCUCAAUGAAUUUUAAAUAGCCGCAGUAUAUUAACUGUGCAAAGGUAGCAUAAUCAUUAGUUUUUUAAUUGAAAGCUGGAAUGAAAGGUUGAAUGAGAAAAUAGCUGUCUCUAUAAAAAUUUUAUAGAAUUUUAUUUUUAAGUAAAAAAGCUUAAAUUUUUGUUAAAGACGAGAAGACCCUAUAGAGUUUUAUAUUAUAAGAUUAUACAAUUUUUUAGUAUUUUAAAAUUUAUUUUUUUUGUAGUAUUUAAUUGGGGUGAUUAGAAAAUUAACUAAACUUUUCUUUUAAAUUUACACUUAUUUGUGAAAUUAUGAUCCUUUUAUAAAGAUUAUAAGAUAGAAUUACCUUAGGGAUAACAGCGUAAUUUUUUUUGAGAGUUCAAAUCGAAAAAAAAGAUUGCGACCUCGAUGUUGGAUUAAAAUUAAUUUUUGGUGUAGAAGCUAGAUAAAUUAGGUCUGUUCGACCUUUAAAAUUUUACUUGAUCUGAGUU
This 530-nucleotide ribosomal RNA is filed under the name Ceutorhynchus dubius. Its description in RNAcentral is "partial 16S ribosomal RNA". It matches the Rfam family "Bacterial large subunit ribosomal RNA", at positions 1811 to 2611 of the family's 2925-position model. Lineage: Eukaryota; Metazoa; Arthropoda; Insecta; Coleoptera; Curculionidae. The record is from RNAcentral.